CCUACGGGGGGCAGCAGUGGGGAAUAUUGGACAAUGGGGGGAACCCUGAUCCAGCCAUGCCGCGUGUGUGAAGAAGGCCCUCGGGUUGUAAAGCACUUUCAGUGAGGAAGAACGCCUGGUGGUUAAUACCCAUCAGGAAAGACAUCACUCACAGAAGAAGCACCGGCUAACUCCGUGCCAGCAGCCGCGGUAAUACGGAGGGUGCGAGCGUUAAUCGGAAUUACUGGGCGUAAAGCGCGCGUAGGUGGCUUGAUAAGCCGGUUGUGAAAGCCCCGGGCUCAACCUGGGAACGGCAUCCGGAACUGUCAAGCUAGAGUGCAGGAGAGGAAGGUAGAAUUCCUGGUGUAGCGGUGAAAUGCGUAGAGAUCGGGAGGAAUACCAGUGGCGAAGGCGGCCUUCUGGACUGACACUGACACUGAGGUGCGAAAGCGUGGGUAGCAAACAGGAUUAGAUACCCCAGUAGUC
RNAcentral lists this ribosomal RNA (465 nucleotides) under Vreelandella stevensii. RNAcentral's name for it is "partial 16S ribosomal RNA". It matches the Rfam family "Bacterial small subunit ribosomal RNA", at positions 338 to 795 of the family's 1533-position model. The record is from RNAcentral. Lineage: Bacteria; Pseudomonadati; Pseudomonadota; Gammaproteobacteria; Oceanospirillales; Halomonadaceae.